GACGAACGCUGGCGGCGUGCUUAACACAUGCAAGUCGAACGGGCCUGUCUUCUUUUUUGGGGGGUGGGUUGAGUGGCGAACGGGUGAGUAUCACGUGAGUAACCUGCCCUUCGGUCCUGGAUAACCGCUUGAAAGGGCGGCUAAUACGGGGUGGUCCGGUUGGUCCGCAUGGGCUGGUCGGGAUAGCUUCACUGUUUUUGGUGUUUCGGCGGGGGAUGGGCUCGCGGCCUAUCAGCUUGUUGGUGGGGCGAUGGCCUACCAAGGCGGUGACGGGUAGCCGGCCGGGGAGGGUGGGCGGCCAGACUGGGACUGAGAUACAGCCCAGACUCGUGCGGGAGGCAGCAGUGGGGGGUAUUGCACAAUGGGCGGAAGCCUGAUGCAGCGACGUCGCGUGAGGGAUGGAGGCCUUCGGGUUGUGAACCUCUGUUGCCGGUGGUGAAGGCCCUGUCCGUGUGGUGGGGUUGACGGUAGCCGGGGAUGAAGCGCCGGCUAACUACGUG
RNAcentral lists this ribosomal RNA (500 nucleotides) under uncultured bacterium. Its description in RNAcentral is "partial 16S ribosomal RNA". It matches the Rfam family "Bacterial small subunit ribosomal RNA", at positions 28 to 507 of the family's 1533-position model. The record is from RNAcentral.